This 553-nucleotide ribosomal RNA is filed under the name uncultured bacterium. Its description in RNAcentral is "partial 16S ribosomal RNA". It matches the Rfam family "Bacterial small subunit ribosomal RNA", at positions 355 to 898 of the family's 1533-position model. The record is from RNAcentral.
UAGGGAAUCUUCCACAAUGGACGCAAGUCUGAUGGAGCAACGCCGCGUGAGUGAAGAAGGUUUUCGGACCGUAAAGCUCUGUUGUUGGUGAAGAAGGAUAGAGGUAGUAACUGGCCUUUAUUUGACGGUAAUCAACCAGAAAGUCACGGCUAACUACGUGCCAGCAGCCGCGGUAAUACGUAGGUGGCAAGCGUUGUCCGGAUUUAUUGGGCGUAAAGCGAGCGCAGGCGGAAGAAUAAGUCUGAUGUGAAAGCCCUCGGCUUAACCGAGGAAUUGCAUCGGAAACUGUUUUUCUUGAGUGCAGAAGAGGAGAGUAGAACUCCAUGUGUAGCGGUGGAAUGCGUAGAUAUAUGGAAGAAUACCAGUGGCGAAGGCGGCUCUCUGGUCUGCAACUGACGCUGAGGCUCGAAAGCAUGGGUAGCGAACAGGAUUAGAUACCCUGGUAGUCCAUGCCGUAAACGAUGAGUGCUAAGUGUUGGGAGGCUUCCGCCUCUCAGUGCUGCAGCUAACGCAUUAAGCACUCCGCCUGGGGGAGUACGACCGCAAGGUUGAA